AUUGAACGCUGGCGGCAGGCUUAACACAUGCAAGUCGAGCGGAGUGAUGGUGCUUGCACUAUCACUUAGCGGCGGACGGGUGAGUAAUGCUUAGGAAUCUNCCUAUUAGUGGGGGACAACAUUUCGAAAGGAAUGCUAAUACCGCAUACGUCCUACGGGAGAAAGCAGGGGAUCUUCGGACCUUGCGCUAAUAGAUGAGCCUAAGUCGGAUUAGCUAGUUGGUGGGGUAAAGGCCUACCAAGGCGACGAUCUGUAGCGGGUCUGAGAGGAUGAUCCGCCACACUGGGACUGAGACACGGCCCAGACUCCUACGGGAGGCAGCAGUGGGGAAUAUUGGACAAUGGGCGCAAGCCUGAUCCAGCCAUGCCGCGUGUGUGAAGAAGGCCUUAUGGUUGUAAAGCACUUUAAGCGAGGAGGAGGCUACUGAAGUUAAUACCUUCAGAUAGUGGACGUUACUCGCAGAAUAAGCACCGGCUAACUCUGUGCCAGCAGCCGCGGUAAUACAGAGGGUGCAAGCGUUAAUCGGAUUUACUGGGCGUAAAGCGCGCGUAGGCGGCUAAUUAAGUCAAAUGUGAAAUCCCCGAGCUUAACUUGGGAAUUGCAUUCGAUACUGGUUAGCUAGAGUGUGGGAGAGGAUGGUAGAAUUCCAGGUGUAGCGGUGAAAUGCGUAGAGAUCUGGAGGAAUACCGAUGGCGAAGGCAGCCAUCUGGCCUAACACUGACGCUGAGGUGCGAAAGCAUGGGGAGCAAACAGGAUUAGAUACCCUGGUAGUCCAUGCCGUAAACGAUGUCUACUAGCCGUUGGGGCCUUUGAGGCUUUAGUGGCGCAGCUAACGCGAUAAGUAGACCGCCUGGGGAGUACGGUCGCAAGACUAAAACUCAAAUGAAUUGACGGGGGCCCGCACAAGCGGUGGAGCAUGUGGUUUAAUUCGAUGCAACGCGAAGAACCUUACCUGGCCUUGACAUAGUAAGAACUUUCCAGAGAUGGAUUGGUGCCUUCGGGAACUUACAUACAGGUGCUGCAUGGCUGUCGUCAGCUCGUGUCGUGAGAUGUUGGGUUAAGUCCCGCAACGAGCGCAACCCUUUUCCUUAUUUGCCAGC
This 1100-nucleotide ribosomal RNA is filed under the name Acinetobacter sp. M444. RNAcentral describes it as "bacterial SSU rRNA". It matches the Rfam family "Bacterial small subunit ribosomal RNA", at positions 28 to 1122 of the family's 1533-position model. Lineage: Bacteria; Pseudomonadati; Pseudomonadota; Gammaproteobacteria; Moraxellales; Moraxellaceae. The record is from RNAcentral.